CACAGCUCUGACUCAUACAGGAUUCAGGAGGGUGGAAACAAUCUCUAACCCACACACUCUCUUACCAUUGUGGCGAUCCUGUGGAUGAGAGAGGAUAAACACAGUAGAAAUACAGUACUUUCACUUGGAGCUGAGAUGAACGUGGUACCUUCAGGCGUUUGGAAAUUGCUCCCAAGGAUGAACCAGACUUGUGGAGGUCUACAAUUUCUUUUGAUUUUCCCAUGAUGUCAAGCAAAAAGGCACUGAGUUUGAAGGACCUAAGCCCUAGGAUCAUGCCUCUGGACGACCUGGCGUGAUGACUCCUGGCUGUCCCCAGUCCACCUGGUUGUGCUGCUGCUCCAGUUUCAACUGUUCUCCCUGCGGCUAGGGAACCCUGACCUGUUCACCAGACGUUCUACCCUGUCCUGUACCUGCUGUUUUCGACUCUCUCUCUCUCUACUGCACCUGCUGUCUCAACCUCUGAAUGUUCAGCUAUGAAAAGCCAACUGACAUUUACUCCUGAGGUACUGACCUGUUGCACCCUCUACAACCACUCUGAGUAUUAUUUGACCCUGCUGGUCAUCUAUGAACGUUUGAACAUCUUGAAGAACAAUCUGGCUUUAAAUAGCCAUGUACUUUUAUAAUCCCCACCUGGCACAGCCAGAAGAGGACUGGCCUCCCCUCACAGCCUGGUUCCUCUCUAGGUUUCGUCCUAGGAUCCUGCCUUUCUAGGGAGUUUUUCCUAGCCACUGUGCUUCUACAUCUGCAUUUCUUGCUGUUUGGGGUUUUAGACUGGGUUUCUGUCACAUUCUGACAUCUGCUGAUGUAAAAAGGGCUUUAUAAAUACAUUUGAUUGACUGAUUGACUGCAGAGAAUAUGAGGGUCUUUGAGAAAAACAACUUGAAUUAUAUCAUACCAGUAUACAUUAACUUACACACUCAUGCUGACAAAAAGCUGCAAACACAUACACCACUCUGUCUAUGCAAAUGUGCACAAUGCCACAAGGAGCUCUCUACCACUCCCAAGAUUUCCUCAGAUAUCUUCAAAGCAUUUCAGAACUCCUGCAAAGCCUUGGUUUAUUUAGAGGCAUCGGAUCAACAGUGUGGCACCGGGGGAGCCUGAGCUGUCUCAUCCGUUUGUCACCAGGAGUUGUGUUCUUAUUUUCCACUUCCACAUAUCCAAGUCUAUUCCUCCCUUCCUCCACCUACCUUUCUCCCCUACCCCCUACCCCCUACCUCCUCACAGCGGAAGUUCGUCAAAUAACCGAGCAACACUUCAAAAACAGGAGCUGGGGUGUUGUCCUCUAAAAAUCUCAGCAGGGUCUGUCCGUCUCAGCGAGGAAAAGGGGGAGAGGUGAGACAAGAGAGAAAAGAGAAGAGAGCAUAGAGGAGAGAGGGGACAGAGAGGGGAGAGAGAAGAGAGAGGAGAGGGGAAGGAGAGGGGAGAGAUCAGAGAGGAGAUGAAGAGGAGAGAGGGGAGAGAUUAGAGAGGAGAUGAAGCAGGGAGAAAGAAGAGAGGGGAUGGAGAGGGGAGGGGAGGGGAAGGAGAGGGGAGAGAGGGAGAGAGGGAGAGAGAGAAAGAAAGAGAGAGGGAGGAGGGAGAGUGAGAGAGGGAGGAGAGAGAGAGAG
RNAcentral lists this long non-coding RNA (1607 nucleotides) under Salmo salar (Atlantic salmon). RNAcentral describes it as "lncRNA (ENSSSAG00000106025.1)". Lineage: Eukaryota; Metazoa; Chordata; Actinopteri; Salmoniformes; Salmonidae. The record is from RNAcentral.